This 1298-nucleotide ribosomal RNA is filed under the name gut metagenome. RNAcentral's name for it is "bacterial SSU rRNA". It matches the Rfam family "Bacterial small subunit ribosomal RNA", at positions 196 to 1520 of the family's 1533-position model. The record is from RNAcentral.
AGAGGGAAAAGGAGCAAUCCGCUUUGAGAUGGCCUCGCGUCCGAUUAGCUAGUUGGUGAGGUAACGGCCCACCAAGGCGACGAUCGGUAGCCGGACUGAGAGGUUGAACGGCCACAUUGGGACUGAGACACGGCCCAGACUCCUACGGGAGGCAGCAGUGGGGAAUAUUGCACAAUGGGGGAAACCCUGAUGCAGCGACGCCGCGUGGAGGAAGAAGGUCUUCGGAUUGUAAACUCCUGUUGUUGGGGAAGAUAAUGACGGUACCCAACAAGGAAGUGACGGCUAACUACGUGCCAGCAGCCGCGGUAAAACGUAGGUCACAAGCGUUGUCCGGAAUUACUGGGUGUAAAGGGAGCGCAGGCGGGAAGACAAGUUGGAAGUGAAAUCUAUGGGCUCAACCCAUAAACUGCUUUCAAAACUGUUUUUCUUGAGUAGUGCAGAGGUAGGCGGAAUUCCCGGUGUAGCGGUGGAAUGCGUAGAUAUCGGGAGGAACACCAGUGGCGAAGGCGGCCUACUGGGCACCAACUGACGCUGAGGCUCGAAAGUGUGGGUAGCAAACAGGAUUAGAUACCCUGGUAGUCCACACCGUAAACGAUGAUUACUAGGUGUUGGAGGAUUGACCCCUUCAGUGCCGCAGUUAACACAAUAAGUAAUCCACCUGGGGAGUACGACCGCAAGGUUGAAACUCAAAGGAAUUGACGGGGGCCCGCACAAGCAGUGGAGUAUGUGGUUUAAUUCGACGCAACGCGAAGAACCUUACCAAGUCUUGACAUCCCUUGACAGACAUAGAAAUAUGUAAUCUCUUCGGAGCAAGGAGACAGGUGGUGCAUGGUUGUCGUCAGCUCGUGUCGUGAGAUGUUGGGUUAAGUCCCGCAACGAGCGCAACCCUUAUGGUCAGUUACUACGCAAGAGGACUCUGGCCAGACUGCCGUUGACAAAACGGAGGAAGGUGGGGAUGACGUCAAAUCAUCAUGCCCUUUAUGACUUGGGCUACACACGUACUACAAUGGCGUUAAACAAAGAGAAGCAAGACCGCGAGGUGGAGCAAAACUCAGAAACAACGUCCCAGUUCGGACUGCAGGCUGCAACUCGCCUGCACGAAGUCGGAAUUGCUAGUAAUCGUGGAUCAGCAUGCCACGGUGAAUACGUUCCCGGGCCUUGUACACACCGCCCGUCACACCAUGAGAGCCGGGGGGACCCGAAGUCGGUAGUCUAACCGCAAGGAGGACGCCGCCGAAGGUAAAACUGGUGAUUGGGGUGAAGUCGUAACAAGGUAGCCGUAGGAGAACCUGCGGCUG